RNAcentral lists this small nuclear RNA (304 nucleotides) under Sorex araneus (European shrew). RNAcentral's name for it is "7SK RNA (ENSSARG00000016709.1)". It matches the Rfam family "7SK RNA". From Rfam's summary of the family: 7SK was discovered as an abundant small nuclear RNA in the mid-70s but a possible function has only recently been suggested. Two independent studies have found that 7SK RNA binds the CDK9/cyclin T complex (known as elongation factor P-TEFb). The record is from RNAcentral. Lineage: Eukaryota; Metazoa; Chordata; Mammalia; Eulipotyphla; Soricidae.
GGAUGUGAGGGUGAUUUGGCCGUGACAUCUGUCACCCCAUUGAUCUGCAGGGUUGAUUUGGCUGGUGUGGCUGGCUAGGCGAGUGUCCCCCUGCUCCUUCACUGUUCCAUAUGUGUCCCUAGGACAAACUUCCAUAAAUAGAGGUGGAGUGUUCUUCAGUCAAGGACGUAUGAGUAGCCAAACUCCACUGCUAGCACCUUCAAUCAGUUGUCCAAGUCCAUUGGUAGGAAAACGUAGGUUAGUCAAGCUUCCAAGGCUCCAGACACAUUUAAAUGAGGCGCUGCAUGUGGUCAUCUGCCUUUCU